This 748-nucleotide ribosomal RNA is filed under the name uncultured bacterium. RNAcentral describes it as "bacterial SSU rRNA". It matches the Rfam family "Bacterial small subunit ribosomal RNA", at positions 28 to 776 of the family's 1533-position model. The record is from RNAcentral.
GAUGAACGCUGGCGGCGUGUUUAACACAUGCAAGUCGAGCGAAGCACUUUUGCGGAUUUCUUCGGAUUGAAGCAACUGUGACUGAGCGGCGGACGGGUGAGUAACGCGUGGGUAACCUGCCUCAUACAGGGGGAUAACAGUUAGAAAUGACUGCUAAUACCGCAUAAGCGCACAGUGCUGCAUGGCACAGUGUGAAAAACUCCGGUGGUAUGAGAUGGACCCGCGUCUGAUUAGCUAGUUGGUGGGGUAACGGCCUACCAAGGCGACGAUCAGUAGCCGGCCUGAGAGGGUGAACGGCCACAUUGGGACUGAGACACGGCCCAAACUCCUACGGGAGGCAGCAGUGGGGAAUAUUGCACAAUGGGGGAAACCCUGAUGCAGCGACGCCGCGUGAGCGAAGAAGUAUUUCGGUAUGUAAAGCUCUAUCAGCAGGGAAGAAAAUGACGGUACCUGACUAAGAAGCACCGGCUAAAUACGUGCCAGCAGCCGCGGUAAUACGUAUGGUGCAAGCGUUAUCCGGAUUUACUGGGUGUAAAGGGAGCGUAGACGGUUGUGUAAGUCUGAUGUGAAAGCCCGGGGCUCAACCCCGGGACUGCAUUGGAAACUAUGUAACUAGAGUGUCGGAGAGGUAAGCGGAAUUCCUAGUGUAGCGGUGAAAUGCGUAGAUAUUAGGAGGAACACCAGUGGCGAAGGCGGCUUACUGGACGAUCACUGACGUUGAGGCUCGAAAGCGUGGGGAGCAAACGGG